GACGAACGCUGGCGGCGUGCCUAAUACAUGCAAGUAGAACGCUGAAGGAGGAGCUUGCUCUUCUGGAUGAGUUGCGAACGGGUGAGUAACGCGUAGGUAACCUGCCUGGUAGCGGGGGAUAACUAUUGGAAACGAUAGCUAAUACCGCAUAACAGUAGAUGUUGCAUGACAUUUACUUAAAAGGUGCAAUUGCAUCACUACCAGAUGGACCUGCGUUGUAUUAGCUAGUUGGUGGGGUAACGGCUCACCAAGGCGACGAUACAUAGCCGACCUGAGAGGGUGAUCGGCCACACUGGGACUGAGACACGGCCCAGACUCCUACGGGAGGCAGCAGUAGGGAAUCUUCGGCAAUGGACGGAAGUCUGGCCGAGCAACGCCGCGUGAGUGAAGAAGGUUGUCGGAUCGUAAAGCUCUGUUGUAAGAGAAGAACGAGUGUGAGAGUGGAAAGUUCACACUGUGACGGUAUCUUACCAGAAAGGGACGGCUAACUACGUG
RNAcentral lists this ribosomal RNA (495 nucleotides) under uncultured bacterium. RNAcentral describes it as "partial 16S ribosomal RNA". It matches the Rfam family "Bacterial small subunit ribosomal RNA", at positions 28 to 507 of the family's 1533-position model. The record is from RNAcentral.